UAGGGAAUAUUGGACAAUGGGCGAAAGCCUGAUCCAGCCAUGCCGCGUGAUAGAUGAAGGCCCUCUGGGUUGUAAAUAUCUUUUAUCUGGGAAGAAACACCUCUAUUCUUAGAGGCUUGACGGUACCAGAGGAAUAAGCACCGGCUAACUCCGUGCCAGCAGCCGCGGUAAUACGGAGGGUGCAAGCGUUAUCCGGAUUCACUGGGUUUAAAGGGUGCGUAGGCGGGUAUAUAAGUCAGUGGUGAAAGCUCCGGGCUUAACUUGGAAACUGCCAUUGAUACUGUAUAUCUUGAAUGUCGUAGAGGUUAGCGGAAUGUUGCAUGUAGCGGUGAAAUGCUUAGAUAUGUUACAGAACACCAAUUGCGAAGGCAGCUAACUAUGCGAUGAUUGACGCUGAGGCACGAAAGCGUGGGGAGCAAACAG
This 423-nucleotide ribosomal RNA is filed under the name uncultured bacterium. Its description in RNAcentral is "bacterial SSU rRNA". It matches the Rfam family "Bacterial small subunit ribosomal RNA", at positions 355 to 775 of the family's 1533-position model. The record is from RNAcentral.